This 225-nucleotide long non-coding RNA is filed under the name Trifolium pratense (red clover). RNAcentral's name for it is "long non-coding RNA (TPRA_LNC005892)". The record is from RNAcentral. Lineage: Eukaryota; Viridiplantae; Streptophyta; Magnoliopsida; Fabales; Fabaceae.
UAAAAACAUGCAUAAUCAUACAUUAUACAUAUCCAUCACCAUCAUUCAUGCAUAUUCAUAUAUCAUGCAUAUACUUCAUUUAUCACAUAAUCAAUCAUCCACAAUUAUACACCAAACAUAUAGUUUCACGUCGUUUCGGACAAUACCAAAACAUCAACAAAUACAUUGUUCAGAUUAUGGUCAUGACGGACCCUGCGUUGUUCAUUUUAUAGUCAUGACGGACUC